Molecule: long non-coding RNA, 1642 nt
Organism: Rosa rugosa (rugosa rose)
Lineage: Eukaryota; Viridiplantae; Streptophyta; Magnoliopsida; Rosales; Rosaceae
Exons: 8
Source: RefSeq, a predicted model, not a curated record
CAAAUUAAUCUCUCUCUCUCUCUCUCUCUCCCUCCCGAGGAAGCCAUCUCUCUUCUUCUUCGUCCUCCGAUGAACCACUUGUCCUCCAACUACAGCAAACCCUUCCUCCGACACCAUCUUGCUCAGCUCCGGCAGUACAAGACCGUCGGAAGCCCGCCACAGAAGUUCGAGUACGAGCUGUACUCGUAGCACUCAACGAUGACCUCGUCCUAGUCAAAUAGACGGUUCGAUGAGGCGUUGAGAUCGUCUUCGUCAAUUCUGAGGGUUUUACUGUGACCGAGGUGUUCUGGAUCACCACCGACGACUUCGCCGGGCCCGAGGAGACCACACACUAACCACCUCACCUUCCCCGGCAUUCUCAGUCUUAGAGAAGAAAAUGAGCUGCAUUUGAUUCGGCUCUCUUCGGAUGGAACUGAACUGGUAUACGAUUAUGUGAUGGGAAAAUCUAAGACUCACCCCUAGUCAAUUAAUUGCAUAAUUGAGGAACGUUGCUUUGCGCUGGUGGAGAAGUUACAAAAUGAGGCGUGCGGGGACAAUAGAAUUACAUCAUGACAACCAAGUUUUUUCUUCAAAAGGGUGAAAUUCCCGAAGUUUGGCAGAAUUAUUCCCCUUUUCAUUUGCAGUAGUAGAUUACGAAAAUCAUGUGAAUUUGGAUAGUGAAGCCUCCAUUGACCAAGAGAUCAUCCGGCCAACCAAGAAAUGUUGAAAUGAAGUCUGGUGUUGAAGGUGGCAAAAUAAUGCCUAUGGUUAGUGUAGUGUGGUAGAGCUUGACAACAAGAAACUACAACGGAUGCCAUCUGAAAAAUCAAAAAUGACAUUAGCAUUACAACAUUGACAGAAAAAGGUUCCUCGUCAUUCACCGAGGGGAGGGGUCAUGACCAAAACAGAAACAGGAAUACUUGAGAAAUACAAAGUUGUGCAGCUUGCAGAUUUAUAUAAGGGGUUCAAACCAGUUGUAUUCAUGUAAAAGGUAGAACAAAUUGGUUAUUAGUUACUCAUAUCCUUCAAAUCCCACAGCAACAGCUUCACACUAAAAGGCAUUUUGGAAUAAAUUGGGCUUUGCUUGAUCCAAAGACCUCGGUUGAAGUUCAUUGUUUCUGUCAAGGAGUUGCUGCCAUGGGUCAUGAUGCCUCUUCAGAUAGUGUUAAAUAGUCUAUGACCUCUUUUCGUUUUGGGGGUGGUACCCUUCAAGGUCACUUGCUGGCUUGGAUCAGGAAAGUGACAGUUCAAAGUUUGGAUGGUUAUAUGUCAAUACGUAGGUGAAAGUCAAAUGUUCAACAACUCAGAAAUGUUUGAUCUCAGCUCCAAUAAUGUUACAGAUUCUCUUGAGGUAGUUCCAUAUUUGAAGUACUCAUGAGAGGGGACCUGAUUGAAGAGGAAAAUUGCGUGGCAUAUAGGAAUGACAAUUCGUGUUCCAUAUUUGGCAUUUGCAAUUGCAUAUUCCAUGCUUUUGCCCAAUAAUGCUGAAUGAUGAACAACCAUCAAGGUUUGAACUACAGUAGAUACAAGGGGCAACCGGCAAUCUCCCUUGCUGAUAUUCUCUAUUAUUAUUGAACAUUAGUUUGUAUUUAACAUACAAGGAAUUUUGGUUGUCAUUUUGAGUUGGACAAAGCCAUUGGAGAAGUCACAUUACAAUCAUAUU